UACGGGGGGAGCAAGCGUUGUUCGGAUUUACUGGGCGUAAAGGGCGCGUAGGCGGCCACCGCAAGUCGACUGUGAAAUCUCCGGGCUUAACUCGGAAAGGUCAGCCGAUACUGCGGGGCUAGAGUGCAGAAGGGGCAACUGGAAUUCUCGGUGUAGCGGUGAAAUGCGUAGAUAUCAAGAGGAACACCUGAGGUGAAGACGGGUUGCUGGGCUGACACUGACGCUGAGGCGCGAAAGCUAGGGUAGCAAACGGG
This 254-nucleotide ribosomal RNA is filed under the name uncultured bacterium. RNAcentral's name for it is "partial 16S ribosomal RNA". It matches the Rfam family "Bacterial small subunit ribosomal RNA", at positions 524 to 776 of the family's 1533-position model. The record is from RNAcentral.